GAUGAACGCUGGCGGCGUGCUUAACACAUGCAAGUCGAACGAGAAGUGAAGACGGAAACCUUCGGGCGGAAGGCUUUAUUUCGAGUGGCGGACGGGUGAGUAACGCGUGGGUAACCUGCCUCAUACAGGGGGAUAACAGUUGGAAACGACUGUUAAUACCGCAUAAGACCACAGCACCGCAUGGUGCGGGGGUAAAAACUCCGGUGGUAUGAGAUGGACCCGCGUUCGAUUAGCCAGUUGGCGGGGUAACGGCCCACCAAAGCGACGAUCGAUAGCCGAUCUGAGAGGAUGCCCGGCCACAUUGGGACUGAGACACGGCCCAAACCCCUACGGGAGGCAGCAGUGGGGAAUAUUGCACAAUGGGGGAAACCCUGAUGCAGCGACGCCGCGUGAGUGAAGAAGUAUUUCGGUAUGUAAAGCUCUAUCAGCAGGGAAGAAAAUGACGGUACCUGAGUAAGAAGCCCCGGCUAACUACGUG
This 478-nucleotide ribosomal RNA is filed under the name uncultured bacterium. RNAcentral's name for it is "partial 16S ribosomal RNA". It matches the Rfam family "Bacterial small subunit ribosomal RNA", at positions 28 to 507 of the family's 1533-position model. The record is from RNAcentral.